GCAGAGCAUCGUGGCCGAGUGGUAAAGGUGAUGGACUAUAAAUCCAUUGGGAUCUUCCCGCACAGGCUCAAAUCCUGUCGACUGCU
Non-coding RNA from Cordylochernes scorpioides, 86 nucleotides. The record is from the annotation of a GenBank genome assembly. NCBI's taxonomy places the organism in Eukaryota, Metazoa, Arthropoda, Arachnida, Pseudoscorpiones, Chernetidae.